Molecule: ribosomal RNA, 138 nt
Filed under: uncultured eukaryote
Lineage: Eukaryota
Description: partial 18S ribosomal RNA
Rfam family: Eukaryotic small subunit ribosomal RNA
Source: RNAcentral
UCGUGGACUGAUUUGUCUGGUUGAUUCCGUUAACGAGCGAGAUCUUAUCCUGUUAAAUAGGUCGCCGAAGCACGCUUCGGUAGCGCCUUCUUAGAGGGACAUUGCGUGCUUAACGCAAGGAAGUUUGAGGCAAUAACA